GUAAACGAUGAGUGCUAAGUGUUGGAGGGUUUCCGCCCCUUCAGUGCUGCAGCUAAACGCAUUAAGCACUCCGCCUGGGGAGUACGACCGCAAGGUUGAAACUCAAAGGAAUUGACGGGGGCCCGCACAAGCGGUGGAGCAUGUGGUUUAAUUCGAAGCAACGCGAAGAACCUUACCAGGUCUUGACACCCUCUGACAACCCUAGAGAUAGGGCUUUCCCUUCGGGGACAGAGUGACAGGUGGUGCAUGGUUGUCGUCAGCUCGUGUCGUGAGAUGUUGGGUUAAGUCCCGCAACGAGCGCAACCCUUGUCGUUAGUUGCCAUCAUUCAGUUGGGCACUCUAGCGAGACUGCCGGUGACAAACCGGAGGAAGGUGGGGAUGACGUCAAAUCACCAUGCCCCUUAUGACCUGGGCUACACACGUGCUACAAUGGAUGGUACAACGAGCAGCGAACUCGCGAGGGCAAGCGAAUCUCUUAAAGCCGUUCUCAGUUCGGAUUGCAGGCUGCAACUCGCCUGCAUGAAGCCGGAAUCGCUAGUAAUCGUGGAUCAGCAUGCCACGGUGAAUACGUUCCCGGGCCUUGUACACACCGCCCGUCACACCACGAGAGUUUGUAACACCCAAAGUCGGUGCGGUAACCUUUUGGGGCCAGCCGCCUAAGGUGGGAUAGAUGAUUGGGGUG
Molecule: ribosomal RNA, 682 nt
Filed under: uncultured Catellicoccus sp.
Lineage: Bacteria; Bacillati; Bacillota; Bacilli; Lactobacillales; Enterococcaceae
Description: bacterial SSU rRNA
Rfam family: Bacterial small subunit ribosomal RNA
Source: RNAcentral